Molecule: ribosomal RNA, 484 nt
Filed under: uncultured bacterium
Lineage: Bacteria
Description: partial 16S ribosomal RNA
Rfam family: Bacterial small subunit ribosomal RNA
Source: RNAcentral
AUUGAACGCUGGCGGCAGGCCUAACACAUGCAAGUCGAGCGGAUGAAGGGAGCUUGCUCCUGGAUUCAGCGGCGGACGGGUGAGUAAUGCCUAGGAAUCUGCCUGGUAGUGGGGGAUAACGUCCGGAAACGGGCGCUAAUACCGCAUACGUCCUGAGGGAGAAAGUGGGGGUUCUUCGGACCUCACGCUAUCAGAUGAGCCUAGGUCGGAUUAGCUAGUUGGUGGGGUAAAGGCCUACCAAGGCGACGAUCCGUAACUGGUCUGAGAGGAUGAUCAGUCACACUGGAACUGAGACACGGUCCAGACUCCUACGGGAGGCAGCAGUGGGGAAUAUUGGACAAUGGGCGAAAGCCUGAUCCAGCCAUGCCGCGUGUGUGAAGAAGGUCUUCGGAUUGUAAAGCACUUUAAGUUGGGAGGAAGGGCAGUAAGUUAAUACCUUGCUGUUUUGACGUUACCAACAGAAUAAGCACCGGCUAACUACGUG